Molecule: long non-coding RNA, 2310 nt
Filed under: Numida meleagris (helmeted guineafowl)
Lineage: Eukaryota; Metazoa; Chordata; Aves; Galliformes; Numididae
Description: lncRNA (ENSNMEG00000016428.1)
Source: RNAcentral
GGAAAAGUUCUCUGGCUGUUUGUGAUGAUAGGCAGAAUGUACUUUAAUACUGAGUUGAAUGAGAGGAAACCUCCAAGGGAAAAUUCCUGAGAAUUCCUUUUCUUAAGACUGAAGGAGUAAGGUAUUAGAAGUGCACCAGAUCUUCAGGGACUUUUGAUAAGAUUCUAUUAGCAGUCAAGAUAAAACUCCCACAAGAGAAGGGAUUGCAUUAUUUCACUGAACUUGAAGCCCCUCUAAAGACUGAGGACUUUUUUGAAGCUUUGUGACCAGGUAUUUGUCCAACACUUACAGGGAGGUGAUGUGAACAGCAUCUUAUGAUCUGGUUUAAGAUACUGGUUCCACGUCACACUCACUUUGAAGCUUUUUUUAAAAAAAAAUCAUCACACUGAAAGAAAGUAAAGCAGACUUUAAGCCUACUCCAGCAAUUAAAAAAAAACUUAUUGUUUUAGCUAGAGAUUGCUGUUGAAUAUGCUUUUUCCUCCUUCUCCUCUCCCCAGAUAAACCUUUGGAAAACAGUGUAAUUCUUUAUCAGAGAAGGGCUAAUUGAAGUCAGCACCUCAAUUGUUUCAGCUUAAAUAUGCAGCUCUUUGGACAGGAAACUUGAUUAUUAUAUUAGGAAAGGAAAAAAAUGGGAUACAAACAAACAAAAAAAGCUAUUUUUCAAUAUUUGGUGUGAACUACCAUUGUUGCAUGGUUCCUAACUCAACAGGAACUGCUGUCUUGCACAGUGGUGAAACCUCUCUGAUCAGGGCAGGUAGGAGGCAUCUUGGUACCAAGCAUAGCUUCUCAGCUCCUACUGAAUUCUGCUGAAUGAAAAUAGACAAACUCUACAUCAGUUCCGUGCAGGUUCAAAACUCAGCAAAAGCUAGAGGAAAGUAAGGCUGUACCUCAAACGAAAAAAGAAAGGCAGUGCUCUGUUUCUCAGAGGAAAAAUCUCUGCCUCGUAUAUAGUCAGCUCCUCUGCUUCUCUCCUGGCUUGUGCAAAGGACGGACGCAUCCUGCUCAGUUUGGACUCAAGUCGUCACUUAACAGCUGACUGGGAUGUGUUUUUCCCCUUAACUUUCUCCUGGACAAAAGGUCUUCUUGCUUACCAUUCUUGUGGACACACAGCAGUGGGGGAGGACAGAAAUAGGCAGAGCCCCUGGCUUUCAAAGGAACAAGAUCUAGGCAUAGGAAUUGUCUCUGUUCUCCAGGCAGGCUGCCAGCCUAGCUCCAAGAUUUCUCAGCUGCAGCAGUUUAGACUUUGUCAGGGAUCAGUGACUUCGGAGCUGGGUGCUGGCCAAACCACCCUAGGCAGCUCAUUGCACUAAUCCAAAACUGUAAUUGGGUGGUAGGAGGGGGCAGUGGGAGAACAUCUUAUCCCCACCACAGUCAUGAGUUUUUGUUAACUUAGGAUUAUAAGAAUAAUGAACAAACCCAGAAGCUUGUCUCCUUUAUUUAGUUAGUUUUGGGGCUGCAGCUAGCAAUCCAUUAUUGUCUGUGCAAUGUGUUCCCAGUCUAGCCUCUUAUCAAAGGUGCUUAGCUAUGCAGUGCACAUAAGGAUGCCCAUCAGUAUUGAUAUAUAGAUUCCCUGCACAUCUAUUGUGUUUUACAUGCCUUGCAAUUAGCUUUUGCUUUAUCUACUGCAUGCCUACCUCGCUGUAAGUGUGCCAGGAAAAAGAAAAGAGUCACACUGGGAGAUGGGGGAUGAAUAGGUCUGAAGAAUUACUGAGGGAAAGUAGAAAGCAAUUUGCACUCUGAUGAAAGCAAAGCAGGGCCAGAUCCUGCCAAAUACUGAUGCAGUGUGGAGCAGCUGUAGAUCUGUACUGCUCAGAAUGAAGCCUGCUGUGGUGAAGCAAAAUCAGUUCAGCAAGGUGAAGAGUCACUAUGUGCACAUUGGAGCAACGCUAUGAACUUUCAGAAGUGGUGCUGGCAUGCUACAGUGAUCGCAAGGCUAACAGAAGGAAAGAGACAUGAAAAAGGAAUGGAGAAGAUAGUAACCUAUCUUGAUGCUGUAAAAGUGAAUUCGGACCACAGCAGUUGGUAUCAGUGAAGGCAAAUAACCCACCAAAAUAGGCCUGAUCCAGGGUGUCACCAUCAGCUCCUUCACAGUCCCUGCAGAUUUCCUCUGUGGAUCCUACUCUUUCCACCAAAUACUGGAACACCCAUGUUUCCCCCAUAUUGGUUUCUUAUUGCAACUGUGGUCCUCAGGGCCUCUGCUGGCAGGUCUCCCAAGCAACCUCAGCCCCUCUUGAUUGGAGCAGCUUGCUGUUUGCUUGCUUGCAUGAAGGAGGACCUGGCAGAGGCAUGGAUGAAGAUAGGCACUUUCUG